RNAcentral lists this ribosomal RNA (253 nucleotides) under uncultured bacterium. RNAcentral describes it as "partial 16S ribosomal RNA". It matches the Rfam family "Bacterial small subunit ribosomal RNA", at positions 524 to 776 of the family's 1533-position model. The record is from RNAcentral.
UACGUAGGGGGCAAGCGUUGUCCGGAUUUAUUGGGCGUAAAGCGCGUGUAGGCGGCCAGGUAGGUCCGCUGUGAAAACCCGAGGCUCAACCUCGGGACGUCGGCGGAAACCAUGUGGCUAGAGUCCGGAAGAGGAGAGUGGAAUUCCCGGUGUAGCGGUGAAAUGCGCAGAUAUCGGGAAGAACACCCGUGGCGAAGGCGGCUCUCUGGGACGGUACUGACGCUGAGACGCGAAAGCGUGGGGAGCGAACAGG